This 93-nucleotide microRNA precursor is filed under the name Petromyzon marinus (sea lamprey). Its description in RNAcentral is "microRNA pma-mir-4547 precursor". Lineage: Eukaryota; Metazoa; Chordata; Hyperoartia; Petromyzontiformes; Petromyzontidae. The record is from miRBase by way of RNAcentral.
AUGUGGGCGAGUUGCGCUGUUUUCUGACAAAGGGUUGGCUUGUGAACUGUGUCUUCCGGCCCAUUGCUAGGAAACAUUGCCACUAGCCCAAGC